CCAAUAGCGUAUAUUAAAGUUGUUGCAGUUAAAAAGCUCGUAGUUGAACUUCGGGGUUUACCCAUUGGUCAGGCUUAAUUGUCUGCACUGGUGAGAUGGAUCUCUACCUUCUGAGGAACUUUCAUGCCAUUUAUUUAGUGUGAUGGGAAAUCAGGACUGUUACUUUGAAAAAAUUAGAGUGUUUAAAGCAGACUAUCGUCUGAAUACAUUAGCAUGGAAUAAUGAAAUAGGACGGACUGAUUCUAUUUCGUUGGUUUCUAGGAUCACCGUAAUGAUUAAUAGGGAUAGUUGGGGGCAUUAGUAUUCAAUUGUCAGAGGUGAAAUUCUUGGAUUUAUUGAAGACUAACGACUGCGAAAGCAUUUGCCAAGGAUGCUUUCAUUAAUCAAGAACGAAAGUUAGGGGAUCGAAGACGAUCAGAUACCGUCGUAGUCUUAACCAUAAACUAUGCCGACUAGGGAUCGGACGAAGUUAAUUUUAUAAUGACGCGUUCGGCACCUUACG
RNAcentral lists this ribosomal RNA (502 nucleotides) under uncultured Glomeromycotina. RNAcentral describes it as "partial small subunit ribosomal RNA". It matches the Rfam family "Eukaryotic small subunit ribosomal RNA", at positions 591 to 1092 of the family's 1831-position model. Lineage: Eukaryota; Fungi; Glomeromycota. The record is from RNAcentral.